RNAcentral lists this ribosomal RNA (497 nucleotides) under uncultured bacterium. Its description in RNAcentral is "partial 16S ribosomal RNA". It matches the Rfam family "Bacterial small subunit ribosomal RNA", at positions 28 to 507 of the family's 1533-position model. The record is from RNAcentral.
GAUGAACGCUGGCGGCGUGCCUAAUACAUGCAAGUCGAGCGAACGGACGAGAAGCUUGCUCCUCUGAUGUUAUCGGCGGACGGGUGAGUAACACGUGGAUAACCUACCUAUAAGACUGGGAUCACUUCGGGAAACUGGAGUUAAUACCGGAUAAUAUUAUGAACCGCAUGGUUCAAAAGUGAAAGACGGUUUUGCUGUCACUUAUAGAUGGAUCCGCGCUGCAUUAGCUAGUUGGUAAGGUAACGGCUUACCAAGGCAACGAUGCAUAGCCGACCUGAGAGGGUGAUCGGCCACACUGGAACUGAGACACGGUCCAGACUCCUACGGGAGGAGGCAGUAGGGAAUCUUCCGCAAUGGGCGAAAGCCUGACGGGGCACCGCCGCGUGAGUGAUGAAGUUCUUCGGAUCGAAAAACUCUGUUAUAAGGGAAGAACAUAUGUGUAAGUAACUGUGCACAUCUUGACGGUACCUAAUCAGAAAGCCACGGCUAACUACGUG